GGCUGGUCCAAUGGCAGUGGGUUAUCAGAACUUAUUAACAUUAGUGUCACUAAAGUUGGUAUACCACCCCCCCCCACUGCUAAAUUUGAUUGGCUUUAA
Cavia porcellus (domestic guinea pig) is the source of this 99-nucleotide unclassified non-coding RNA. It matches the Rfam family "Y RNA". From Rfam's summary of the family: Y RNAs are components of the Ro ribonucleoprotein particle (Ro RNP), in association with Ro60 and La proteins. The Y RNAs and Ro60 and La proteins are well conserved, but the function of the Ro RNP is not known. Lineage: Eukaryota; Metazoa; Chordata; Mammalia; Rodentia; Caviidae. The record is from Ensembl.